This 104-nucleotide small nuclear RNA is filed under the name Dasypus novemcinctus (nine-banded armadillo). The record is from RNAcentral. Lineage: Eukaryota; Metazoa; Chordata; Mammalia; Cingulata; Dasypodidae.
GUGCUUGCUUCGGCAGCACAUAUACUAAAAUUAGAAUACAGAGAAGAUUAGCAUGGCCCCUGUGCAAGGAUGACACACAAAUUCAUAAAGUGUUCCAUAUAAAC